GUCUCCAUUUCAAUGUAAGCUGAAGGGAGGUGUUCAAUCUCAACACGCCCUCUGUCGCCUCUCUCUCCCUCUCUCUCUCUCUCUCUCUCCAUCUUCAAUGGCUUCUCAACCUCAUCGCCCCCGAGAACUACCCCUGGUUCUUGUUCUCCGCCCGCCUCCAGUCUUCACUGUCUUCGAGGCUCAGUUUUCUCAAAAGUUCCAGUUCCUGAAAGCGUGGGAGUCGCCGCUCCCCGUAGCCACAUUUCUCACCACACACACGCAGUCCGUACGCGCCGCACUCUGCUCCGGUGGCUCCCCAAUCACCGCGGAAAUCCUCCGAUGGCUGCCGUCUCUCCGCCUCAUCGUCACCACCAGCGCCGGCCUCAACCACAUCGACUUGCCGGAGUGCCGCCGCCGUGGAAUUGCAGUCGCUAAUGCCGGGACUGUGUUUUCCGCUGAAGUAGCGGAUACGGCGGUCGGGCUUCUGCUUGAUGUGCUCCGAAAGGUAUCGGCCGCGGACCGGUAUGUUCGCGCUGGGCUUUGGAAGAUCUCAGGGGAUUAUCCUCUUGGUUCUAAGAUCGGAGGCAAGCGAGUUGGCAUUGUUGGAUUGGGAAGCAUUGGCUUAGAAGUUGCAAAAAGGCUUCAGGCCUUUGGCUGCAUCAUUUUGUACAACUCAAGGAAGAAGAAGCCGCCUGUGUCAUACCCUUACUAUUCUAGUGUCUGUGAACUUGCAGCUGAUAGCGAUGUCCUUGUCAUUUGUUGUGCAUUAACUAGUCAAACCCGCCAUAUGAUAGAUAAGGAAGUCUUGUUGGCACUGGGGAAGAACGGAGUCAUUAUUAACAUCGGACGAGGUGCAGUUAUUGAUGAAAAGGAACUGGUACAGUGUUUGAUGCAAGGAGAUAUUGCUGGUGCUGGAUUGGAUGUGUUUGAGAAUGAGCCCAGUGUUCCUAAAGAGCUCUUUGCAUUGGAUAAUGUUGUGUUGUUACCACAUACAGCUGUCUUUACGAAGGAAACCUUCUUGGAUUUGUACGAGCUCAUGGUGGCGAAUUUGGAAGCUUUCUUCUCAAAUAAGCCCUUGCUUUCUCCAGUGAUUGAUGAAUGAAUGGGUUUCCUUUGUCAUUGCUGGUUGGUUUCUCCAUUAGUGGAUUUCCUUUCUCACCGCUGGACAAAAGACGAUUGAUGUAGUGAAAAGUCAAAUAAAGGACAACAAUCAAAAACUGCUGCAUUAAUUAUCUGGACAUUUUGUAUGUAUCUGCUGUAUAUUAAGUGGUAGAAUACUGUAGAAAUGCUUCUUCAUGCUACGUACAUGCAUGCAUUAGACCUAGGUUAAGCAUAGUUAAGUUGAUCCAAUGGCUUUUAAGUUAGAACUUGGGAGGAUAUUUGUUUAUAUAAUUUUUUCCUGCUUUCUCUCUAGAAAAUAAAUACAUAUAAUGCUUAAUCUUGAAAA
Molecule: RNA transcript, 1426 nt
Organism: Malania oleifera
Lineage: Eukaryota; Viridiplantae; Streptophyta; Magnoliopsida; Santalales; Ximeniaceae
Gene name: glyoxylate/hydroxypyruvate reductase HPR3-like
Exons: 3
Source: RefSeq, a predicted model, not a curated record